GGUGGUGGCUGUGACGCUUUUCAUGUUGAAAACUGUGGUCAGAUACACCACCAGGUUGGUGUAAGAGCCCACGGUGCCCAGCUUCUCAAACGUCUCAUUCCCAAUGAUAUAAGGCAUGGCUUUAAUUCCUGAGUAGUUGAUGACUUCUUCUGCAGGCUUAUCAUUUGUAGCAGUUUUGUCUUCCUUCUUGUUCUCCAUGGAUGU
This 204-nucleotide unclassified non-coding RNA is filed under the name Hevea brasiliensis (rubber tree). The record is from RNAcentral. Lineage: Eukaryota; Viridiplantae; Streptophyta; Magnoliopsida; Malpighiales; Euphorbiaceae.